This 253-nucleotide ribosomal RNA is filed under the name uncultured bacterium. Its description in RNAcentral is "partial 16S ribosomal RNA". It matches the Rfam family "Bacterial small subunit ribosomal RNA", at positions 524 to 776 of the family's 1533-position model. The record is from RNAcentral.
UACGUAGGGGGCAAGCGUUGUCCGGAAUCAUUGGGCGUAAAGAGCGCGUAGGCGGCCCAGUAAGUCCGCUCUGAAAGUCAGAGGCUCAACCUCUGAAUGCGGGUGGAUACUGCUGGGCUAGAGUCCGGAAGAGGCGAGUGGAAUUCCUGGUGUAGCGGUGAAAUGCGCAGAUAUCAGGAGGAACACCGGUGGCGAGGGCGGGUCUCUGGGCCGAUACUGACGCUGAGGAGCGAAAGCGUGGGGAGCAAACAGG